Molecule: small nucleolar RNA, 135 nt
Organism: Megalopta genalis
Lineage: Eukaryota; Metazoa; Arthropoda; Insecta; Hymenoptera; Halictidae
Product: small nucleolar RNA snoR639/H1
Source: RefSeq, a predicted model, not a curated record
ACCCCACACUAUUAAGCCGACAGUAUCAGUGUAUUCCAAUUGAAUCUGUGUGCUCGUUGUGGGAACAGCAAAGUCUGGUAAUUGUGUAUGGUUGUAUUGAUUGCGUAGAUACAAUCAAAGAAUUUACUCAGGACA